UGGGUUUGACAUGUUCCUGACCCCCCUGGAAACAGGGGUUCCCUUCGGGGCAGGAUCACAGGUGGUGCAUGGCUGUCGUCAGCUCGUGUCGUGAGAUGUUGGGUUAAGUCCCGCAACGAGCGCAACCCCCGUCGUAUGUUGCCAGCAUUUAGUUGGGGACUCAUACGAGACUGCCGGUGACAAACCGGAGGAAGGUGGGGAUGACGUCAAGUCAUCAUGCCCCUUAUGUCCAGGGCUACACA
RNAcentral lists this ribosomal RNA (242 nucleotides) under uncultured bacterium. Its description in RNAcentral is "partial 16S ribosomal RNA". It matches the Rfam family "Bacterial small subunit ribosomal RNA", at positions 976 to 1220 of the family's 1533-position model. The record is from RNAcentral.